ACAAGCGGUGGAGUAUGUGGUUUAAUUCGAUGCAACGCGAAGAACCUUACCUGGUCUUGACAUCCCGGAGACCCUUAGGAAACUAGGGGUGCUUCCAUCUGGAAGAAUCUGGAGACAGGUGCUGCAUGGCUGUCGUCAGCUCGUGUCGUGAGAUGUUGGGUUAAGUCCCGCAACGAGCGCAACCCUUGCCUUUAGUUGCCAGCAGUUCGGCUGGGCACUCUAAAGGGACUGCCGGUGUUAAACCGGAGGAAGGUGGGGAUGACGUCAAGUCCUCAUGGCCUUUAUGACCAGGGCUACACACGUACUACAAUGGCCGAUACAAAGGGCAGCGACACUGCGAGGUGAAGCCAAUCCCGUAAAAUCGGUCUCAGUCCGGAUUGGAGUCUGCAACUCGACUCCAUGAAGUUGGAAUCGCUAGUAAUCGUGGAUCAGCGUGCCACGGUGAAUACGUUCCCGGGCCUU
RNAcentral lists this ribosomal RNA (462 nucleotides) under uncultured Desulfobulbus sp. RNAcentral describes it as "bacterial SSU rRNA". It matches the Rfam family "Bacterial small subunit ribosomal RNA", at positions 925 to 1382 of the family's 1533-position model. Lineage: Bacteria; Pseudomonadati; Thermodesulfobacteriota; Desulfobulbia; Desulfobulbales; Desulfobulbaceae. The record is from RNAcentral.